Molecule: long non-coding RNA, 871 nt
Filed under: Marmota monax (woodchuck)
Lineage: Eukaryota; Metazoa; Chordata; Mammalia; Rodentia; Sciuridae
Source: RNAcentral
GUGGCACCUCCCUACCCCCGACACACACUUGGGCCAGUAGCCCGGGAGGGUCACCGUGGGGUGGGGUUGAGCUGAGUGGAGAGACCGAGCAGGACCUACCAGGCGUGGCGUCUCCUCUGCAGGGCUCCUCUGGUGUCCUGCUGCCCCCCGCCUGCUCUCCCCUUCAGGAAGCCAGCCCCAUUCCCUCGGUGGACGCCCUCCCACCCCCACUCCAGGCUGCUGAGGGAAGGGGACACUCGGCCACUCCAUGGCGCCCGGGCCAUGGCCAACACAGAGGAUGCCCCUUCUUCAGGCAGAUGGAGCCAGCUGCCACCAGAGCACCAGGGUUGCCAUAAGUAGCCAGGGCCGCGCUGCCCGUCAGCUGGGCCCUUGUGCAGUCACCAUCAUGUGCGGUCCUUCCUGUUCCUACCAGUAAACCCAGGGCUGGCUUCAGCCUGCCCCGGCCACAGCGAGGAGUUGAAGAACAAGCCUGUGGACAGGCUGAUCUCCUGGGAGCUCACCACAGAACGGCGGGACCACUGAAGACAGCCUCCCGCUUUGUAGUGCCCUGAUUAAAAGGAGCAGAGAGCCUGGGGGCUGCACUGGGUCCCGGUCAUCCCCGGGACAGUCAGCCCAGGAGGGAGGAGGGAGGCAUUAUUAAUCCGAUCUCAGUGUCGGAGCCAUAGCUGAGCCCACCGCCCUUUCAUUCAUGUGGCCAAGAAACUUCUUUUGGGUGAGACAGUUUAACAAUUCCCUGCAGUUUGCAGUCCAAGAGUCCUGACCAGUACAACUGUCGCGGUGGGAGAGGGCAAGCCUCACGGCAAAUGCUGAUUACGUCGCUGAACUCACCUGGGGUGUUGAUACGAGGGCCCUAGAGAAUGAUUUCAGUUAA